UACGUAGGGUGCAAGCGUUAAUCGGAAUUACUGGGCGUAAAGUGUGCGCAGGCGGCAGAGCAAGUCGAGUGUGAAAGCCCCGAGCUUAACUUGGGAAUUGCGCUCGAAACUACUUUGCUGGAGUGUGGCAGAGGAAGGUGGAAUUCCAGGUGUAGCGGUGAAAUGCGUAGAGAUCUGGAGGAACACCGAUGGCGAAGGCAGCCUUCUGGGCCAACACUGACGCUCAUGCAUGAAAGCGUGGGGAGCAAACAGG
RNAcentral lists this ribosomal RNA (253 nucleotides) under uncultured bacterium. RNAcentral's name for it is "partial 16S ribosomal RNA". It matches the Rfam family "Bacterial small subunit ribosomal RNA", at positions 524 to 776 of the family's 1533-position model. The record is from RNAcentral.